AUAAUAUUCUUGCAUUUUGCUCAUUUGAUGUCAUAAUGACAAAUUAUACUGAAGAUAUGAAAACAAUGAGGGUGUGCCUACAUUAGCACUUUAGUUUGGCUCAGAAGGACAACCCUGAAGAGCACAUCAUCAUAACCCCCAUUUGCUUAUUUUGAUUCACGUCACAGAGCAGUCACAGAGAGCACACACUGUGUUCCCCUUAGAUGAAACUAAACCAGAAGGUUUGCUCUGGCUGUUAAUGAGCAUCCAGAUCAGGGACCAGGCAAGAGCUAGCUGGAAACAACUCCCCAGCACAACAUACACACUUUGUACAGUGGAUCCUCAGUACCAUUUCUCUGUUCAUCAGCACCUGUUGGGCUAAUAUCAAGUUCCAAGACCGACCAGGAACCAAUCUCCAAUACACAAAUUCACCUGGGACCCACUGCAUCGACCACUACUUCUGUCUGCCAUGGCAGAGGUCAGUAAAUGCUCAUGUAAAUCCAAUUGCUUUUCAUUUAAAGCAUUUGAAAGCCCCAUUGUUUAAAAUGCAAACAUUUCAUAUUGUAUUUCAGCAUUUUUCCUAUGAGAGCAUUGACCCCAAAGUACUGUUAUGGAUUUCAUAAUUCCUGUUCUUCACAAUGAGUGCCAUCAGUAAGUCAGUCAAACUCAUGAAUAAAUACUUAUUAAUAAAAGUAUUGAACUAACCA
This 686-nucleotide long non-coding RNA is filed under the name Anas platyrhynchos platyrhynchos (common mallard). RNAcentral describes it as "lncRNA (ENSAPLG00000022805.1)". The record is from RNAcentral. Lineage: Eukaryota; Metazoa; Chordata; Aves; Anseriformes; Anatidae.